CGGCGGACGGGUGAGUAACACGUGGGUAACCUACCUAUAAGACUGGGAUAACUCCGGGAAACCGGGGCUAAUACCGGAUAAUAUUUUGAACCGCAUGGUUCGAUAGUGAAAGACGGUUUCGGCUGUCACUUAUAGAUGGACCCGCGCCGUAUUAGCUAGUUGGUAAGGUAACGGCUUACCAAGGCGACGAUACGUAGCCGACCUGAGAGGGUGAUCGGCCACACUGGAA
This 229-nucleotide ribosomal RNA is filed under the name Mammaliicoccus sciuri. RNAcentral's name for it is "Staphylococcus sciuri partial 16S ribosomal RNA". It matches the Rfam family "Bacterial small subunit ribosomal RNA", at positions 96 to 318 of the family's 1533-position model. The record is from RNAcentral. Lineage: Bacteria; Bacillati; Bacillota; Bacilli; Caryophanales; Staphylococcaceae.